CUGCGGCAGCGACGCUGAUGCGUUGUUGGGUAGGGGAGCGUUCUGUAAGCCUGCGAAGGUGGCCUGUGAGGGUUGCUGGAGGUAUCAGAAGUGCGAAUGCUGACAUAAGUAACGAUAAAGCGGGUGAAAAGCCCGCUCGCCGGAAGACCAAGGGUUCCUGUCCAACGUUAAUCGGGGCAGGGUGAGUCGACCCCUAAGGCGAGGCCGAAAGGCGUAGUCGAUGGGAAACGGGUUAAUAUUCCCGUACUUGGUGUUACUGCGAAGGGGGGACGGAGAAGGCUAUGUUGGCCGGGCGACGGUUGUCCCGGUUUAAGCGUGUAGGUGUGUGUUCCAGGUAAAUCCGGUUCACUUUAACACUGAGGCGUGACGACGAGGCACUACGGUGCUGAAGCAACAAAUGCCCUGCUUCCAGGAAAAGCCUCUAAGCAUCAGGUAACAUCAAAUCGUACCCCAAACCGACACAGGUGGUCAGGUAGAGAAUACCAAGGCGCUUGAGAGAACUCGGGUGAAGGAACUAGGCAAAAUGGUGCCGUAACUUCGGGAGAAGGCACGCUGACACGUAGGUGAAGUGAUUUACUCAUGGAGCUGAAGUCAGUCGAAGAUACCAGCUGGCUGCAACUGUUUAUUAAAAACACAGCACUGUGCAAACACGAAAGUGGACGUAUACGGUGUGACGCCUGCCCGGUGCCGGAAGGUUAAUUGAUGGGGUCAGCGCAAGCGAAGCUCCUGAUCGAAGCCCCGGUAAACGGCGGCCGUAACUAUAACGGUCCUAAGGUAGCGAAAUUCCUUGUCGGGUAAGUUCCGACCUGCACGAAUGGCGUAAUGAUGGCCAGGCUGUCUCCACCCGAGACUCAGUGAAAUUGAACUCGCUGUGAAGAUGCAGUGUACCCGCGGCAAGACGGAAAGACCCCGUGAACCUUUACUAUAGCUUGACACUGAACAUUGAGCCUUGAUGUGUAGGAUAGGUGGGAGGCUUUGAAGUGUGGACGCCAGUCUGCAUGGAGCCGACCUUGAAAUACCACCCUUUAAUGUUUGAUGUUCUAACGUGGACCCGUGAUCCGGGUUGCGGACAGUGUCUGGUGGGUAGUUUGACUGGGGCGGUCUCCUCCUAAAGAGUAACGGAGGAGCACGAAGGUUGGCUAAUCCUGGUCGGACAUCAGGAGGUUAGUGCAAUGGCAUAAGCCAGCUUGACUGCGAGCGUGACGGCGCGAGCAGGUGCGAAAGCAGGUCAUAGUGAUCCGGUGGUUCUGAAUGGAAGGGCCAUCGCUCAACGGAUAAAAGGUACUCCGGGGAUAACAGGCUGAUACCGCCCAAGAGUUCAUAUCGACGGCGGUGUUUGGCACCUCGAUGUCGGCUCAUCACAUCCUGGGGCUGAAGUAGGUCCCAAGGGUAUGGCUGUUCGCCAUUUAAAGUGGUACGCGAGCUGGGUUUAGAACGUCGUGAGACAGUUCGGUCCCUAUCUGCCGUGGGCGCUGGAGAACUGAGGGGGGCUGCUCCUAGUACGAGAGGACCGGAGUGGACGCAUCACUGGUGUUCGGGUUGUCAUGCCAAUGGCACUGCCCGGUAGCUAAAUGCGGAAGAGAUAAGUGCUGAAAGCAUCUAAGCACGAAACUUGCCCCGAG
Molecule: ribosomal RNA, 1622 nt
Filed under: Salmonella enterica
Lineage: Bacteria; Pseudomonadati; Pseudomonadota; Gammaproteobacteria; Enterobacterales; Enterobacteriaceae
Description: partial 23S ribosomal RNA
Rfam family: Bacterial large subunit ribosomal RNA
Source: RNAcentral